AGUAAUGUAUGGGGAUCUGCCCGAUAGAGGGGGGUAACUACUGGAAACGGUGGCUAAUACCGCAUAAUGUCUACGGACCAAAGCAGGGGCUCUUCGGACCUUCCACUAUCGGAUGAACCCAUAUGGGAUUAGCUAGUAGGUGGGGUAAAGGCUCACCUAGGCGACGAUCUCUAGCUGGUCUGAGAGGAUGAUCAGCCACACUGGGACUGAGACACGGCCCAG
RNAcentral lists this ribosomal RNA (222 nucleotides) under uncultured bacterium. Its description in RNAcentral is "partial 16S ribosomal RNA". It matches the Rfam family "Bacterial small subunit ribosomal RNA", at positions 109 to 334 of the family's 1533-position model. The record is from RNAcentral.